UACGUAGGGUGCGAGCGUUGUCCGGAAUUAUUGGGCGUAAAGGGGCUCGUAGGCGGUUUGUCGCGUCGGGAGUGAAAUCCACUGGCUUAACUGGUGGCUUGCUUUCGAUACGGGCAGACUGGAGGUAUGCAGGGGAGAACGGAAUUCCUGGUGUAGCGGUGAAAUGCGCAGAUAUCAGGAGGAACACCGGUGGCGAAGGCGGUUCUCUGGGCAUGUCCUGACGCUGAGGAGCGAAAGUGUGGGGAGCGAACAGG
This 254-nucleotide ribosomal RNA is filed under the name uncultured bacterium. RNAcentral's name for it is "partial 16S ribosomal RNA". It matches the Rfam family "Bacterial small subunit ribosomal RNA", at positions 524 to 776 of the family's 1533-position model. The record is from RNAcentral.